CCAGACUCCUACGGGAGGCAGCAGUGGGGGAUAUUGCACAAUGGGGGAAACCCUGAUGCAGCGACGCCGCGUGGGCGAAGAAGUAUUUCGGUAUGUAAAGCCCUAUCAGCAGGGAAGAAGAAAUGACGGUACCUGAGUAAGAAACACCGGCUAACUACGUGCCAGCAGCCGCGGUAAUACGUAGGGGGCAAGCGUUAUCCGGAUUUACUGGGUGUAAAGGGAGCGUAGACGGCGAAGAAAGUCUGAAGUGAAAGCCCGUGGCUUAACCGCGGAACGGCUUUGGAAACUGUGGAACUGGAGUGCUGGAGAGGCAAGCGGAAUUCCUAGUGUAGCGGUGAAAUGCGUAGAUAUUAGGAGGAACACCAGUGGCGAAGGCGGCUUGCUGGACAGUAACUGACGUUGAGGCUCGAAAGCGUGGGGAGCAAACAGGAUUAGAUACCCGAGUA
RNAcentral lists this ribosomal RNA (446 nucleotides) under uncultured bacterium. RNAcentral describes it as "bacterial SSU rRNA". It matches the Rfam family "Bacterial small subunit ribosomal RNA", at positions 331 to 792 of the family's 1533-position model. The record is from RNAcentral.